GAGAAGGACUCUCCAUUGAACUCCAUAACAUCAUUCCAGUUAUCAAAGGCGUUUUUCACGAUUGUAUCUCUUUGUUCCUGGAAGAAAAACACUCGGUAAAUCACUCGAGCUGGACUAAUUGAAGUAUUUAUCUCCACUAUUGAAGCACAGGGAAAGAAGAAUAAAAGAAACAUUGGAAGAACAUCAAUUCCCUAUUGCUGCCCAUUUCUCCACCACAUAAAGGUCAGGUGCUCGAAAGAUGUAAUGGAGAGUACGAUCAAGGCAAGGAUCCUCAGGGUAAAGAUACAAAGUUGAUCGAGAAAGGACCAGUGAAGAAAUAAAACACGGAUCAACUUGUAUUGCGCAAGUAAUAAAGAUCUUCAUAGCUUUAUACUUGAAAAGUAAUAGUUGCAACAUGAAUGUGUUAAUUACUCAAACGACAAUACGCUGAUGAGUGCCUCACAUUUUCAUGGAUGACAACAAAUCAACUGCUGAAAGUUCUGUCCAA
Syzygium oleosum is the source of this 487-nucleotide long non-coding RNA. RefSeq lists it as uncharacterized. The record is from RefSeq and is a predicted model, not a curated record. The transcript has 2 exons. NCBI's taxonomy places the organism in Eukaryota, Viridiplantae, Streptophyta, Magnoliopsida, Myrtales, Myrtaceae.